Molecule: long non-coding RNA, 440 nt
Organism: Coffea eugenioides
Lineage: Eukaryota; Viridiplantae; Streptophyta; Magnoliopsida; Gentianales; Rubiaceae
Exons: 2
Source: RefSeq, a predicted model, not a curated record
CCGGGCUCUGCUUUUGUGCGCCUUCUCAUGCAUUCUUGCUCAUCAGCAAAGGAAAACAGACCGAACCAAAAAUCGAUGAGGGAUUUUUAUUGUAAUAGCUGAAAAAAUGGGGCAUGUUACUGUUGUAACACUUGAAGAAGGAAUGAGAAGAUUGGAGGUGGGCAUAUCGAAGGCCAAAUUGAUUUUGGAUGGAUACCCACCUAAGGCCUUGUUCACAUCUGAAGAAUACAUGAAGUACUAUGAGUAUCCUUGAAGGAGUUAUGCUGAAUUUUGAGUUUAUUACUUCCUUUUUGUUAUUCUUUAUUGUUGGUUUGGAGCAGUUAUUGGACCCAUUUGUAAUUUGCAGUUAUUGAUGACGGUGCAUAGUGCCGCGUAGUUACUGUAUAUUUGCUGGGGCCUUGUAUUGUUGUUUUUCGUCUUGUUGACAAUUCUAUUAUUAA